GACGUAGGUGGCGAACGUUAUCCGGAAUUAUUGGGCGUAAAGAGCUCGUAGGCGGACUGUCACGUCUGCUGUGAAAAGCUGGGGCUUAACCCUGGCCUUGCAGUGGAUACGGGCAGACUAGAGGUAGGUAGGGGAGAAUGGAAUUCCCGGUGUAGCGGUGAAAUGCGCAGAUAUCAGGAGGAACACCGAUUGCGAAGGCAGCUCGCUGGGACGUAACUGACGCUGAGACGCGAAAGCGUGGGGAGCAAACAGG
RNAcentral lists this ribosomal RNA (253 nucleotides) under uncultured bacterium. RNAcentral describes it as "partial 16S ribosomal RNA". It matches the Rfam family "Bacterial small subunit ribosomal RNA", at positions 524 to 776 of the family's 1533-position model. The record is from RNAcentral.